CAGUCGCCGCGGUAAUACGAAGGGGGCUAGCGUUGCUCGGAAUGACUGGGCGUAAAGGGCGCGUAGGCGGCUGACACAGUCAGAUGUGAAAUUCCUGGGCUCAACCUGGGGACUGCAUUUGAGACGUGUUGGCUUGAGUGGAGAAGAGGGUCGUGGAAUUUCCAGUGUAGAGGUGAAAUUCGUAGAUAUUGGAAAGAACACCGGUGGCGAAGGCGGCGACCUGGUCUUUAACUGACGCUGAGGCGCGAAAGCGUGGGGAGCAAACAGGAUUAGAUACCCCCGUAGUCCCUGUCUCUUAUAU
RNAcentral lists this ribosomal RNA (301 nucleotides) under uncultured bacterium. RNAcentral's name for it is "partial 16S ribosomal RNA". It matches the Rfam family "Bacterial small subunit ribosomal RNA", at positions 509 to 809 of the family's 1533-position model. The record is from RNAcentral.